CAGAACUUUCCAGAGAUGGAUUGGUGCCUUCGGGAACUGUGAGACAGGUGCUGCAUGGCUGUCGUCAGCUCGUGUUGUGAAAUGUUGGGUUAAGUCCCGCAACGAGCGCAACCCUUAUCCUUUGUUGCCAGCGGUCCGGCCGGGAACUCAAAGGAGACUGCCAGUGAUAAACUGGAGGAAGGUGGGGAUGACGUCAAGUCAUCAUGGCCCUUACGACCAGGGCUACACACGUGCUACAAUGGCGCAUACAAAGAGAAGCGACCUCGCGAGAGCAAGCGGACCUCAUAAAGUGCGUCGUAGUCCGGAUUGGAGUCUGCAACUCGACUCCAUGAAGUCGGAAUCGCUAGUAAUCGUGGAUCAGAAUGCCACGGUGAAUACGUUCCCGGGCCUUGUACACACCGCCCGUCACACCAUGGGAGUGGGUUGCAAAAGAAGUAGGUAGCUUAACCUUCGGGAGGGCGCUUACCACUUUGUGAUUCAUGACUGGGGUGAAGUCGUAACAAGGUAACCGUAGGGGAACCUGCGGUUGGAUCAC
RNAcentral lists this ribosomal RNA (535 nucleotides) under Escherichia coli. RNAcentral's name for it is "bacterial SSU rRNA". It matches the Rfam family "Bacterial small subunit ribosomal RNA", at positions 991 to 1526 of the family's 1533-position model. The record is from RNAcentral. Lineage: Bacteria; Pseudomonadati; Pseudomonadota; Gammaproteobacteria; Enterobacterales; Enterobacteriaceae. RNAcentral also lists the same sequence under 1 other name.